CUCUCCAUUAACUCUCUCUCUUUCUGAUUGAGUGUAAGCUGCUAUAUGAAGGGAUCCACAAGACGAAUAAUUAAGGGGGACCUCUGAUCAACAGCCAGCAAGGAACUGAAUCCCUCAGACCCACAACUCACAAGAAACUGAAGCUGAAGCAGAUUCUUCCUCAGUCAAGCUUCAGAAAGAAAUCAUGAGUGACCACUCAGCUCAAGGCUUCUCUGCUGAUGCCAUCCAGUGAGUUUCCUGGCAGCCAUCUUUUUAUGAAAGAAUAGAGGUCAGCCUGACUGCACUUCCAGAUGAUUAGAGCCACAUCAGGAAGCAGUAAGUGGCAGGGCCAUCUCAAGGAAGAGCCACCAGUCUCCAGGGAGUUUAGGUCUUAGAUGUGAAGCCUCAAGUAAUUUGCAGAGAUUGUCUUGCCUGUAUAACACACCCUGUUGUUGCUUUUAUACAGCCAAACUGACAGGGGUUUGUGAAUCAGAAUGAUGGCUUUGCAUUUUAGCUUAGGGAAGAGUCCCCGAAGAGGGAGGAAGAGGGCAGUGGCAAAAGCUUUCUAAAAAUGCCAAUGCCAAAUGCCCAUCCCAGGCCAGUUAAAGGAGAAUCUCUGGGUGGGACUAGGACCUGCUUUGCAGAAAGGAUCUCAUUGAGAAUAGCAAAAGGAAGUUGGGAACCAUUACAGUGCCCAGCUGUAUUGGUAGAGGAGACCAACCACACCCUCCACAGCACAGCACCUGGAGAGGAACUGCUGCCAUGACCAUAGAGGACACCCUCUGGAUACAAUGCCAGACUUGAUGUGGGACUGACCAACCUAUGGACCCCAGGCACCACCACCCAGACCUGCUCAGCACCUGAAACAUUCACAGCCGUGGAGAGAGAACUGUUCACUGCUACCAUCCACACUUCUGGGCCCCUUCAGCAGCAGGGUGACAAGGAAGAGGGAAAUCGACUUGGAAAAGAGGGGACCUCUGACCCAAGAGUUCGGUCAAUGCAUAUGUUGGCAGCCAGCUGCACAUCGCACCAAAUAUGAACUUCAAAUAGAAGAAAGCCUCAUUUGGAAGAAAGCUCAUGCACAGACUGUAAAUAUUUCAGAGCAGAUUGUGUCUCUGUAGAUUAAUAACCAAAAAAUAGAAGAUUCAGAAGAACUAGCAAAUGUGGAGAGAACGGAUGAAAUGGAAGCAGUGUGAACCUAGUGAAUACUUGCCAAGCUGUAUCUCCCCUGAAUUUGUCAAAACAUCAUCUCCAGCAUCUGAGCUAGACCAACCCUCAGUGCUAACAUUGAUGUGAUUAAAGAGUCUGAACUGGGAGCAGAAUUCCUUCAGGUAUUUUGUUAAUAAAAUAAAGCUCUCCAUCUCUCCUUAAAUUAAACAA
Molecule: long non-coding RNA, 1359 nt
Organism: Homo sapiens (human)
Lineage: Eukaryota; Metazoa; Chordata; Mammalia; Primates; Hominidae
Product: MIR3976 host gene
Source: Ensembl